AGAGGUUGCCUGUGGCAUGUUC
This 22-nucleotide microRNA is filed under the name Cavia porcellus (domestic guinea pig). RNAcentral's name for it is "cpo-miR-323b-5p". Its record names the gene cpo-miR-323b-5p. Lineage: Eukaryota; Metazoa; Chordata; Mammalia; Rodentia; Caviidae. The record is from miRBase by way of RNAcentral.